This 420-nucleotide ribosomal RNA is filed under the name Fusobacteriota bacterium. RNAcentral's name for it is "Fusobacteria bacterium partial 16S ribosomal RNA". It matches the Rfam family "Bacterial small subunit ribosomal RNA", at positions 355 to 776 of the family's 1533-position model. The record is from RNAcentral. Lineage: Bacteria; Fusobacteriati; Fusobacteriota.
UGGGGGAUAUUGCACAAUGGGCGAAAGCCUGAUGCAGCGACGCCGCGUGGGGGAUGAAGGCCUUCGGGUUGUAAACUUCUUUUGCUCUGAACAAGGCAUGCCUUUGGGGUGUGUUGAGUGUAGGGGUUGAUUAGCGCCGGCUAACUACGUGCCAGCAGCCGCGGUAAUACGUAGGGCGCGAGCGUUGUCCGGAAUUAUUGGGGGUAAAGGGCUUGUAGGUGGCUGGUUGCGUCUGUCGUGAAAGCUCAUGGCUUAACUGUGGGUUUGCGGUGGGUACGGGCUGGCUUGAGUGCAGUAGGGGAGGCUGGAAUUCCUGGUGUAGCGGUGGAAUGCGCAGAUAUCAGGAGGAAUACCGGUGGCGAAGGCGGGUCUCUGGGCUGUUACUGACGCUGAGGAGCGAAAGCGUGGGGAGCGAACAGG